RNAcentral lists this ribosomal RNA (468 nucleotides) under uncultured bacterium. RNAcentral's name for it is "partial 16S ribosomal RNA". It matches the Rfam family "Bacterial small subunit ribosomal RNA", at positions 28 to 507 of the family's 1533-position model. The record is from RNAcentral.
GACGAACGCUGGCGGCGUGCUUAACACAUGCAAGUCGAACGGAAAGGCCCUGCUUUUGUGGGGUGCUCGAGUGGCGAACGGGUGAGUAACACGUGAGUAACCUGCCCUUGACUUUGGGAUAACUUCAGGAAACUGGGGCUAAUACCGGAUAGGAGCUCCUGCUGCAUGGUGGGGGUUGGAAAGUUUCGGCGGUUGGGGAUGGACUCGCGGCUUAUCAGCCUGUUGGUGGGGUAGUGGCUUACCAAGGCUUUGACGGGUAGCCGGCCUGAGAGGGUGACCGGCCACAUUGGGACUGAGAUACGGCCCAGACUCCUACGGGAGGCAGCAGUGGGGAAUAUUGCACAAUGGGCGGAAGCCUGAUGCAGCAACGCCGCGUGCGGGAUGACGGCCUUCGGGUUGUAGACCGCUUUCGCCUGUGACGAAGCGUGAGUGACGGUAAUGGGUAAAGAAGCACCGGCUAACUACGUG